UUUUUCGGGGAGUCCCUAUUCCCACCCUCAGUAUUCCACAUAUAACGAGUCCUGGAGAUUUCCAAACCCCAGCCUGUUAGUGUUCCAACAGGACUAUGGGUCUCUCCUGGGGACGGAGAUCGGCUGUUCCUCUGGCCUCUUCACCGCCAGCCAGACGGGACAGAUGCAAGGGUCGCCGUACUACUACAGCGCGGCAUCGCGAGGGGCGGGACCGGCUGCCACGGCAACUGCCUCCGCCUACGACCGCCACUGACCCCGCCAAUCAACGAUGAAGAGGAGGAUGAGGAAGAGGAGGAAGAAAGGAGAGAUAGCACCAGCACUGUCCAAUAGUAGCCUGCCAACUGACAGAGGAGGAAGUAGAGGAGGAGAAACAGGAAGGAGAGGAGGAGAAACAGGAAGGAGAGGAGGAGGAAGGAGAGGAGGGGGAAGGAGAGGAGGAGGAAGGAGAGGAGGAGAAACAGGAAGGAGAGGAGGAGGAGGAAGGAGAGGAGGAGAAACAGGAAGGAGAGGAGGAGGAAGGAGAGGAGGAAAAACAGGAAGGAGAAGAGGAGGAAGAGGAAGUGGACGAAGAGGACGAGGAGGAAGAUCUGCUUUACAUCAGUAAACUCCCGACUGCGCGCUUUUGAUUGACACUCGAGCCGACCAAUCCCUGCUGAGCUGAGACACUGACCUAUUGCUAUUGCACCUGUUACGAUAACGUGGAAUAAACAGGAAGGAUGCACCCACAGAGACUGAUCCCAGGUCAGAUUGGAGAGUUUACCACCUAACGGGUAGGGUUAGGAUCUGAGGAGGGCAAGCUGAUCCCAGGUCAGAUUGGAGAGUUUACCACCUAACGGGUAGGGAUAGGAUCUGAGGAGGGCAAGCUGAUCCCAGGUUAGAUUGGUUGUUAUUAUAUACACCAGGACUAUUCGACUGUAGUUCAGAGCUCUCCUGGUUGUCACCUGGUUGUCAUCCUGCCCCUCUAACCAGGGACUGAUUCAGACCUGGGACACCAGGUAACUAGACUGUCUGGCCAAUCACUGACAUUAAUCAAUCAAUCAAUCAAUCAAUGAACUACUAGCCAGGGAGACUAGCCGCCCAGCAGAGACAAAGACCUGGAGAGAUGGAACUGAACAGCCUCCACAUUACAGCCUGAUAAGUACAACGUAGAGGGUGAAUCCCAAUAGGAUCUCCUUUCUCCUGAAGUGUACACUCGUUCACUACUUCCCACUAAUCUAAAACCAUUGGAUUGGUAGAGGCUUUUUUUAAAUUAAUUAUUGUUAUACCAGUCAUUUCCUUUGAACUCAGUGAAGGGAAGUGAAGAAAGUGCCUACUUUGGGAGGAAGGACGGCAGACAGACAGACAGACAGGCAGACAGACAGGCAGACAGACAGACAGGCAGGCAGACAGGCAGACAGACAGGCAGACAGGCAGGCAGACAGGCAGGCAGGCAGGCACAGAAUAUGAGCCACCCGAGUUUCUGGUGAAUAAGAUGGAUAUAUAUAGAGUGAGAGAGAGAGACAGAGAGAGAGAGAGAGAGAGAGAGACAGAGAGAGAGACAGAGAGAGAGAGAGAGAGAGAGUAAUAUAUUUAAAUCCCUUUUCGCUGCACUCAAAAGUGACCGUAUAAUUAUGGCUCUGUCUUUCCGUUUUUAGAGGUGAUUUCCAUUAUUUUCACACAUCCUGAAUAUGCUAACGAGUAACCAGGAAGUAGUAAUGGUGGCCACACCCCCCUCUCUCUCUCUCUCUCUCUCUCUCUCUCUCUCCAAAAUCCCCAAAGAUAGUGGUGCCCCCCCCCCCAGUGGUGUGGCUGACUAACGACAAGAAGCACAAAGUGACCCAAAUCACCUUCAUAUAGACGCCAUUUUGACUUCUUCUUCUCCUUCUCCGUGCUUGUCUUCCAUUAGACAUUCGUUCUUCAGUGGGAGAAUAAACUGAAACCUAUGGUUUUUCUCCCCCCCCUCCCCCCCUCUAUGUGUUCUGCGCUGUGACAAUGCAUGAGUUAGGCCUUUACUGAUACUCUGACACACACCAGUAUGCAGGGAACUGUCCCUAGUCACUGAUCUAAGGUCAGUUAUAUACCCCCUCCAAUGGUUAAGGAUAGGACCUGGGAGAGGCUAAACUGAUUCUAGAUCUGUGGUUAAGAGCAGGUUCUAGCCUUUUUAGUGCCAUUUCUCGCGUAACCGGCCCGUCUGUAUGAGAUUUGUAUAUUUAAAAAAUCACUUAAAAGAAGGACUAAAUAAGUCUAGAUAUCAAUAUCGAUUUUGAAAUAUUCAUGAUAUUUAAACAUUUUAGAUUUUAGUGACAAAAAAAAUUUUCAAAAAAAUUGAGAAUAAAAAAGGUGUGAUGUAGUUUUUAGCCUGAGAGUGACUUGUUGUUGUUUUGGAUACUCUCUCUGUGUGUGUGUGUGUGUGUGUGUGUGUGUGUGUGUGUGUGUGUGUGUGUGUGUGUGUGUGUGUGUGUGUGUGUGUGUGUGUGUGUGUGUGUGUGUGUGUGUGCAGUUGUAGCUGUCUGGUUGGAAGGAACCAAAACUGAACAUAAAGAGAUAUAUAUAUAUAUAUAUCUAUAUAUAUCUAUAUAGCUACAGAAAACUACUGAACAAACUGUUGUUUCAAUCUCUGUUGUAAAAUAAAUAGCGAUAGAAAAUAAUCCUUCAGUUACACAUUUGUAGACCUUAAUAAAGUUGUUUUGUAUGCAACUCUAAAGAAAACCCCUUACUGUGGUUCGCCUCGUGUGCUCGAUAUGGGUAAACCCUGUGGACUUAGUAUUACUAGAACGGACAUUCUAGAACCACCAGACAUUCUAGAACACAUGGACAUUCUAGAACCACUAGACAUUCUAGAACCACUAGACAUUCUACAACCACUAGACAUUCUACACCCACUAGACAUUCUACAACCACCGGACAUUCUACAACCACUAGACAUUCUACACCCACUAGACAUUCUAGAACCACUAGACAUUCUAGAA
This is a non-coding RNA of Salmo salar (Atlantic salmon), 2948 nucleotides long. Lineage: Eukaryota; Metazoa; Chordata; Actinopteri; Salmoniformes; Salmonidae. The record is from RefSeq and is a predicted model, not a curated record.